UACCAGCACCCCGAGUGGUCGGGACGAUUAUUGGGCCUAAAGCAUCCGUAGCCGGUUUUACAAGUCCUCCGUUAAAUCCAGCUGCUUAACAGAUGGGCUGCGGAGGAUACUAUAAGACUAGGAGGCAGGAGAGGCAAGCGGUACUCAGUGGGUAGGGGUAAAAUCCGUUGAUCCACUGAAGACCACCAGUGGCGAAGGCGGCUUGCCAGAAUGCGCUCGACGGUGAGGGAUGAAAGCUGGGGGAGCAAACCGG
This 253-nucleotide ribosomal RNA is filed under the name uncultured bacterium. RNAcentral's name for it is "partial 16S ribosomal RNA". It matches the Rfam family "Archaeal small subunit ribosomal RNA", at positions 474 to 727 of the family's 1478-position model. The record is from RNAcentral.